GGGGAGACCCGGGGGUGCGGUGGGGGCGGAGCGCGGGCGUUCGCGAUCCCCGGCGAGCGGGCGGAAGUCAGGCCAGACCCGGCAGAAGGGGGGUGGGGGGCCGUGCGGGAGGGUGUCAGCCGGCUGAGGCCGGAUCAGAUCGGCACUGGCCCCUUAAAAGUGGAUUUAAGACCACGGAGUGUGGCCAAGCCAUGCAUUCUACAGUAAGCCGUGGCCGAGUGUGUCUCAAGGGUGGGCGCUUGAGGGGCCCUUCAAGGGGCUCCGUUCCCGAAAAUAGGGCCUUCGUUUCUGUGGGACCCAGAAACUUGCGUUGGAAAGGGGGAGAGGGAUCUCAUUCUUCAGGCUCCAGGGACACCAGCUUCCGGCUGUCCUGUCUACACUGGCUCCCCAGUCAAGACGAACACUUUCUAUGAACUGAAAGUCAUCAAGAUGGGAACGGAGAUGCCUUCACCUGAUCUGGGGCUAAAGGAUGGUGGUGGUGGGGGUUGUGGAGGGAUUUUUACAGACUGGAGAGUGCCUUUAUUUCCAGCAAGUGUUAAGUGGCCAUAACAAAGUAGAACCCAUGGCUUCAAUUUGAUCUGUCAAAAAUGGAAUUAAAAGUAAAUUUGAAGUUUCACAACAUUGUUCUCUCUAUUACGGGUGCUACUGUGCAUUAAAAUCAUCUGUGAGGCUCAUUGGGAUGGGCAGAGAUUCAAUCACUGCUAAUGGCUCAAGGAAAUGGGGUGGUGAGAAUUAGGGUCAUCCAUCCCAACUGGGGCAAGAAGGAGAAUCAGGAAGUGAGUUUUUCAAUCUUGACAUCUUGCCAGCUGGAGCUGGAGGAAAUGUUUUUCUGAACUCAUUGAGCAGCCUACUUACAAAUCACAGAGAUAGCUACAUUCAAUG
Molecule: long non-coding RNA, 882 nt
Filed under: Dasypus novemcinctus (nine-banded armadillo)
Lineage: Eukaryota; Metazoa; Chordata; Mammalia; Cingulata; Dasypodidae
Description: lncRNA (ENSDNOG00000052219.1)
Source: RNAcentral